This is a long non-coding RNA of Mytilus californianus (California mussel), 482 nucleotides long. RefSeq lists it as uncharacterized. The transcript has 4 exons. The record is from RefSeq and is a predicted model, not a curated record. NCBI's taxonomy places the organism in Eukaryota, Metazoa, Mollusca, Bivalvia, Mytilida, Mytilidae.
AUAACCAUGAAGCGUAUAACGAUAGUGACCAUUGUUUGUGUUGUGCUGAUAAAUUUCAUUUCCGAGGCCUACGGAUGUUGAUGUGUUCCUGGAACAGAUAAAGACAGGUUCUGUACCGCUACAUUUGUUUCACGAGGUAAAGUCAUUGGCAUCAAGUCUCUCAACGGACGUCAAAUUGAAUACACAGUGGCAGUGAAUUAUAAUUUCAGGAUCAAGGUUCCGAAUACACUUAAAGUUCGUUCUAACAGAAGUUCAGCUGCGUGUUGAGUAAAUUUAGAUAAAGGUGUUGAAUAUUUGAUAUCAGGAACUGUAAGGAAGUCCAAAUACGGAGUAACAUACCGAACAAAUAGUUGCCUGUGGAAUCAGAAAUGGCAAAAUAUAAGCUAUGAUAUACGAAAAAAACUCUUAAGUGGACAAUUCAAUAAUUGUUAGUCGUAAUAUCGGUAAAAGUGGUUUCGGUCAACUGCUAUGAUAACUUAUAA